RNAcentral lists this long non-coding RNA (1184 nucleotides) under Panax ginseng (ginseng). Its description in RNAcentral is "long non-coding RNA (PGIN_LNC001311)". The record is from RNAcentral. Lineage: Eukaryota; Viridiplantae; Streptophyta; Magnoliopsida; Apiales; Araliaceae.
CUUGGUGGUUGCAUUUGAUGGAGGCCAUCCAGAUUCUGGAAUUGUUGUUACUGGGAGCGGCCUUGACUUGAAUCAACAGGAAGAAGAACUUGGACAAAGGAAGAUUGAGCUUGAAGCAGAGGAAAGAAAGCUUGAAGAAACUUUGGAGUAUCAGUGACGAAUUGAAAAUGAGGCCAAACAGAAGCACCUUGCUGAGCAACAUAAAAAAACUGCAAUAGCAAUUUUAGAGAAGAAGGAAGCAGUUGGACUGCCAGAUGAUUGCUUCCUGCACAUCGAUAAUGAUCAAAAUGUGUUUGAACAACUGAAACAUAGUAGGCAGGUGAGCGUUCGUUGUACUAAUUUCUCUUUGUUAUUAACAGAAUAAAUAUAUUGGUCCGUCUGUUUCUCAAGAACAUGAACAUAUAGGACUUUAGCUCAUUACUGUGGUUAGAUUAUGCAAACAAUGAUGAAAGAAAUUUCAUUCAAGUCUGAGUUAACUCACAAACCUGCACUCUAGGAACCGUCAAGUCAGAGCAAUGGAUUCAUGAACGUUUUAGAACUUGUGCCUGGAGACCCUGGAGAUGAAGCAUCCCAGAGGAUGGAUAAAUACCCACACCAAUCACCAUGAUGGAGAAAUUAAACAACAUAAGUUACUCCCUCCGUUCCCAAAAGGAUGAACAAAGACAAUUUGGACACAUUAAGAAAAGUAAAAGUAGAGAAAAGAGAGUAAAAAAGUUUUAAAUUUAUUCUUAGUAAAGAAAAUAAAAGGAAAAAUUAAGGUAUUUUAUUUAGUCAGUUGAAGGACUCUGGAAUCUUUCUAUAUGCUUAACCAUUUAAUAGAUAUUGUGGGUAGUUUGUCGGUUUAAUAAUAUUAGUACCACGUAACAACUCUAUUGUCUUUGUGUAUUGAUUUUGGCAUUAAGUGUCUUUGGUGACCUAUUUGUUUCAUUUUUCUGAUUUGCUAUUAUUUUUAAAUAUGUGUAGGAAGACUGUUUCUACGACAUGCCUUACAAUAUUGGGUAUCAAAUUUCUAUGUUACGUUUACAGAAGAUAAGGGACGAAAUUAUGAAGUGUACUCUCUCUAUAUAUGUAGAUAUAUACUUUGAUUGAAGAACUGAGGUAGCUUUAGAUGGUUAAUUGUAAAGAUAAUGAAUGAUUGUGUAGUGAAUGAUUUUAUUAAUUUAAUAAUAUUUUAAUUUUUUGUA